CUACGGGAGGCUCCAGUGGGGAAUAUUGGACAAUGGGCGAAAGCCUGAUCCAGCAAUACCGCGUGAAUGAUGAAGGCCUUAGGGUUGUAAAGUUCUUUUAGUUGGAAAGAUAAUGACGGUACCAACAGAAAAAGCCCCGGCUAACUCCGUGCCAGCAGCCGCGGUAAGACGGAGGGGGCUAGCGUUGUUCGGAAUUACUGGGCGUAAAGGGCGCGUAGGCGGAUUAGUAAGUUGGGAGUGAAAGCCCGGGGCUUAACCUCGGAACUGCUUUCAAAACUGCUAGUCUUGAGUGAAGUAGGGGAUGAUGGAAUUCCUAGUGUAGAGGUGAAAUUCUUAGAUAUUAGGAGGAACACCGGUGGCGAAGGCGGUCAUCUGGACUUCAACUGACGCUGAGGCGCGAAAGCGUGGGGAGCAAACAGGAUUAGAUACCCUCGUAGUC
Molecule: ribosomal RNA, 439 nt
Filed under: uncultured bacterium
Lineage: Bacteria
Description: partial 16S ribosomal RNA
Rfam family: Bacterial small subunit ribosomal RNA
Source: RNAcentral